This 253-nucleotide ribosomal RNA is filed under the name uncultured bacterium. RNAcentral's name for it is "partial 16S ribosomal RNA". It matches the Rfam family "Bacterial small subunit ribosomal RNA", at positions 524 to 776 of the family's 1533-position model. The record is from RNAcentral.
UACGUAGGUGGCGAGCGUUGUCCGGAAUCACUGGGCGUAAAGGGCGCGUAGGCGGCGAUGUAAGUCGCAUGUGAAAUUCCAGGGCUCAACCCUGGGGGGUCAUGCGAAACUACAUGGCUUGAGUGCAGUAGAGGAAAGCGGAAUUCCUGGUGUAGCGGUAAAAUGCGUAGAGAUCAGGAGGAACACCGGUGGCGAAGGCGGCUUUCUGGGCUGCAACUGACGCUGAGGCGCGAAAGCGUGGGGAGCAAACAGG